This is a small nuclear RNA of Molossus molossus (Pallas's mastiff bat), 103 nucleotides long. NCBI's taxonomy places the organism in Eukaryota, Metazoa, Chordata, Mammalia, Chiroptera, Molossidae. The record is from RefSeq and is a predicted model, not a curated record.
UUGCUUCAGUAGCAUAUAUACUAAAAUGGAAAUGAAACAAACAAGAUAAGCCUUGUCCCUAUGUAAAGAUGAGAUGCAAAUCUGUGAAGUGUUCCAUUAAAAA